This 72-nucleotide transfer RNA is filed under the name Cosmoscarta exultans. RNAcentral describes it as "tRNA-Lys". Lineage: Eukaryota; Metazoa; Arthropoda; Insecta; Hemiptera; Cercopidae. The record is from RNAcentral.
CAUUAAGUGACUGAAAAGCAAGUAAUGGUCUCUUAAACCAAUUAAUAGUAAAAUAGCAAAUACUCUUAAUGU